Molecule: ribosomal RNA, 468 nt
Filed under: uncultured bacterium
Lineage: Bacteria
Description: partial 16S ribosomal RNA
Rfam family: Bacterial small subunit ribosomal RNA
Source: RNAcentral
GACGAACGCUGGCGGCGUGCUUAACACAUGCAAGUCGAACGGAAAGGCCCUGCUUUUGUGGGGUGCUCGAGUGGCGAACGGGUGAGUAACACGUGAGUAACCUGCCCUUGACUUUGGGAUAACUUCAGGAAACUGGGGCUAAUACCGGAUAGGAGCUCCUGCUGCAUGGUGGGGGUUGGAAAGUUUCGGCCGUUGGGGAUGGACUCGCGGCUUAUCAGCUUGUUGGUGGGGUAGUGGCUUACCAAGGCUUUGACGGGUAGCCGGCCUGAGAGGGUGACCGGCCACAUUGGGACUGAGAUACGGCCCAGACUCCUACGGGAGGCAGCAGUGGGGAAUAUUGCACAAUGGGCGGAAGCCUGAUGCAGCAACGCCGCGUGCGGGACGACGGCCUUCGGGUUGUAAACCGCUUUCGCCUGUGACGAAGCGUGAGUGACGGUAAUGGGUAAAGAAGCACCGGCUAACUACGUG